CCUACGGGUGGCAGCAGUGAGGAAUAUUGGUCAAUGGGCGAGAGCCUGAACCAGCCAAGUCGCGUGAGGGAGUACUGCCCUAUGGGUUGUAAACCUCUUUUGUCGGGGAGCAAAAGCCGGACGUGUCCGGCUGUGAGAGUACCCGAAGAAAAAGCAUCGGCUAACUCCGUGCCAGCAGCCGCGGUAAUACGGAGGAUGCGAGCGUGAUCCGGAUUUGUUGGGUUUAAAGGGUGCGCAGGCGGAUUUUUAAGUCAGCGGUCAAAUCGUGGGGUCCAACCCCAUCCAGCCGUUGAAACUGGGGGUCUAGAGUGUGCUAGAGGGAUGCGGAAUGCGUGGUGUAGCGGUGAAAUGCAUAGAGAUCACGCAGAACCCCGAUUGCGAAGGCAGCAUACCGGUGAACAACUGACGCUCAGGCACGAAAGCGUGGGUAGCGAACAGGAUUAGAUACCCCAGUAGUC
This 458-nucleotide ribosomal RNA is filed under the name uncultured bacterium. RNAcentral's name for it is "partial 16S ribosomal RNA". It matches the Rfam family "Bacterial small subunit ribosomal RNA", at positions 338 to 795 of the family's 1533-position model. The record is from RNAcentral.